This 232-nucleotide ribosomal RNA is filed under the name uncultured bacterium. Its description in RNAcentral is "partial 16S ribosomal RNA". It matches the Rfam family "Bacterial small subunit ribosomal RNA", at positions 99 to 334 of the family's 1533-position model. The record is from RNAcentral.
CGGACGGGUGAGUAAUGUCUGGGAAACUGCCCGAUGGAGGGGGAUAACUACUGGAAACGGUAGCUAAUACCGCAUAACGUCGCAAGACCAAAGAGGGGGACCUUCGGGCCUCUUGCCAUCGGAUGUGCCCAGAUGGGAUUAGCUAGUAGGCGGGGUAACGGCUCACCUAGGCGACGAUCCCUAGCUGGUCUGAGAGGAUGACCAGCCACACUGGAACUGAGACACGGUCCAG